GACAGAGGGUGCAAACGUUGCUCGGAAUUACUGGGCGUAAAGCGCGUGUAGGUGGAUUGGUGUGUCAGAUGUGAAAUCCCUGGGCUCAACCCAGGAACUGCACCUGAAACUACCAGUCUUGAGUGGUGGAGAGGGAAGUGGAAUUCCUGGUGUAGAGGUGAAAUUCGUAGAUAUCAGGAGGAACACCAGUGGCGAAGGCGGCUUCCUGGACACUAACUGACGCUGAGACGCGAAAGCGUGGGGAGCGAACAGG
RNAcentral lists this ribosomal RNA (253 nucleotides) under uncultured bacterium. Its description in RNAcentral is "partial 16S ribosomal RNA". It matches the Rfam family "Bacterial small subunit ribosomal RNA", at positions 524 to 776 of the family's 1533-position model. The record is from RNAcentral.